This 283-nucleotide unclassified non-coding RNA is filed under the name root metagenome. RNAcentral describes it as "partial contains small subunit ribosomal RNA, internal transcribed spacer 1, and 5.8S ribosomal RNA". The record is from RNAcentral.
UUUUCGUAGGUGAACCUGCGGAAGGAUCAUUGUCGUGACCCUGACCAAAACAGAUUGCGCACGGGUCAUCCAAUCCACCGAUGACAGCACCGUCCGUCGCUCGGCCAAGUCCUCGACCGCCUCCCCUCCUCGGAGUGGAGGCUCAGGGUAAAAGAACCCACGUCGCCGAAGGCGUCAAGGAACACUGUGCCUAACCCGGGGGCAUGGUUAGCUUGCUAGUCGUCCCCUGUGUUGCAAAGCUAUUUAAUCCACACGACUCUCGGCAACGGAUAUCACGGCUCUC